Molecule: ribosomal RNA, 253 nt
Filed under: uncultured bacterium
Lineage: Bacteria
Description: partial 16S ribosomal RNA
Rfam family: Bacterial small subunit ribosomal RNA
Source: RNAcentral
UACGAAGGGGGCUAGCGUUGUUCGGAAUCAUUGGGCGUAAAGCGCGUGUAGGCGGUCCGGUAAGUCCGCUGUGAAAGUCGGGGGCUCAACCCUCGGAUGCCGGUGGAUACUGUCGGGCUUGAGUACGGAAGAGGCGAGUGGAAUUCCUGGUGUAGCGGUGAAGUGCGCAGAUAUCAGGAGGAACACCAAUUGCGAAGGCAGCUCGCUGGGACGGUACUGACGCUGAGACGCGAAAGCGUGGGGAGCAAACAGG